Long non-coding RNA from Medicago truncatula (barrel medic), 1722 nucleotides. RefSeq lists it as uncharacterized. The record is from RefSeq and is a predicted model, not a curated record. Lineage: Eukaryota; Viridiplantae; Streptophyta; Magnoliopsida; Fabales; Fabaceae. The transcript has 3 exons.
GAUAAACCAAUUCAUAUCGUUCAACCGUUUAUAGGGUUUGGGGAUUCUCCUCUCUCUCCAUCCUCUUUCGAAAACAACGAUUCUUCCUUCAAUCUCAGAUCUCGUCCGAAGCUUCGUUCUCUAACCUCGAUCGAUACCAGAUCCGUAUAGAUCCGAUGGAGAUCUACAUGCCGAUGGUGGUUUUGUUCAGAAAUUUCAUAGAUCUGAAUUUUCGUGCAUCAGAUCUACAAUCCAGAGGUAUGGUGGUGGAUCCUUGAGGAAGAUCGUAGAUCCGGUGUUGAAUCAUAGCGAUUCAACCUAUGAUGAUGAUGAUCGAUGUAUCAGCUUCCGAUUUGUUCUCUGUGGCGAAUUUUGGCGAAUCAACGUUGAUGAAUCUCGUUUUCGUUUAACAGAUUCAGAUGUUACACAUCUCGGUUAUUGUAAAUAUGUAUAUAUGAUGAUGAAGAUUGGAAGUUUUCGGGUUGGGAUAAAAUGGAUGUAGGAUAUAUCUUAGGGAUUUAAGUGCCUUUAUGCGCUGAGCGUAUGAAGGAUUAAAUCCUGAGUGAUCUUGUCAUCCGACCUUUGCCAUGUCAGGUGCGCUUGCUUGGCAGGUCAAAAAAUAAUAAUAAAAAAAGUUUUGUUGGUUUUUGAGAGAGAUCGCACGGGGUUUUUGCCCGGGAUCUUCUCUCGUGUGUGGUGUUGUUGCCUUGCCUUGUUUCUUUUCCUUGUUCCUCUUUAUAUUUUACACGCAUCGCGCUCUACUCACAAUAGCACUGGACGGAUUCAUUGAAGCUAAUCUCAACACUCCAAGGUAAUCUAUCAUGUUUCAGUCGAAUCAAUUUCAGUAACAAGUUUAAUUUAUUUUUCUAUUAAUAAUCAAUAAACACAAUAUAACAAUUUAACUUAAAAACCUAAUUUUAGUCGUCAAUUAUUGAUUUUUUGCAAUAGUAUUUGCAGUUGAAUUAUUUCUGCAAAUCUAGUUUUGAAGUUAUAAACAAACCAAUGCCAAAAUUAAUAAAGAAUCUUGGUUCUAAUUUAAUGCAGUAUCAAUAUUUAAUUAUUUUAUUUACGCUCCUCCAUAUAGCUACAGCUAUUUUAAUCUACCUAGAUUCCAAUUACAGUUAUUUUAGUUUCCAAAUUAUAUUGUAUUAAUUUGAACCAUUAGUCCGUUUGUCAAAUGUAAACUAUGGUUUCCGCUUCGGCUGUUGUACUUUGUAAUUGCAGUUAUAGUUCUAUCCCAAGAAAUUAGUACAUCAUGUAACAGGAUCAUAGCUCUGUAAGUUCAUCAGGGGAAAUAUGGACUGUUACUGUGAAUUGAGUGCAUUGUUAUACCGAUUCAGUAGGAGGACUAGAAGAUAAUGCAAUGAAGCCAUGGUGGGAUGCUUUUGUUUUACUCAACAUCUUCUAUCGGUAUGGUGAUCAAUCAUUAAGGUGAAGAUGAUCAAUCAUUAAGGUGAAGAUGACUUCGGUUCUCAUAUGUUAAGUGAAGUUAAUGAAAUAUUUAUUCAGUUUAUUUAUGUUCAGCAAUGCAUUUACAUCAUACACAAAUCAUUAAAUAUUUGAGUCAUCUCCCUCAAACUGAGUGGAAAAUGACUUGGUUCUUUCACUUGUUCAGUCUAAGAAAAUGGAAUGUUGUUAUUCAGUAAUCAUCAUUAUUCAGUAAUGUUGUUAUCAUACGCAUUAAGUUUAUCCAUUUACUUUACCGUGAAUGGGGCUCCCCCCUUUAUAUAAUGAGGUUUUGCA